Molecule: long non-coding RNA, 372 nt
Organism: Uranotaenia lowii
Lineage: Eukaryota; Metazoa; Arthropoda; Insecta; Diptera; Culicidae
Exons: 3
Source: RefSeq, a predicted model, not a curated record
AGAAGAAGAUUGUGGAGCUCAGAAGGAUUUUUCCUGCCGGAAAUUGAAGUCCAAUGCAUCAACCAUAUUAAAAGAUCCGGAGACUCCAAACAACUGGAUGUGAAGAAUUGAAGUGUUUCGGUAUGCCACCACGGAGUGGCAUGGUCAUCCAAGGGACAUCCAUUUAUAACCACGGAGUUUCAUCAAUCAGUAUUCUGUUACGCGUAGAAAUUUUGACUUAACGAUGGAUUCCGCAGUUACGUUCCAUCGAGAUGCUUGUAGUCGGGAAUUCAGUUCCUGGUGCGGAAAUACCGUCAAUUUUUUGUGAAUGCAUUGCUUCUUAAAAUUUUAGCCGGUUUGCUUAAAAAGGUGUUCCGCAUUCGGGUUACCAGA